This 236-nucleotide long non-coding RNA is filed under the name Citrus sinensis (sweet orange). RNAcentral's name for it is "long non-coding RNA (CSIN_LNC004297)". Lineage: Eukaryota; Viridiplantae; Streptophyta; Magnoliopsida; Sapindales; Rutaceae. The record is from RNAcentral.
UUGGAUGCAUUUUGUCACAAGUUAUAUAGUUAUGAAACAAACUUAAUUUAAUUACACAAAAACUUUCAGUUUUACAUAAUUAAACAGUCUAAUAGUUAAAAAUAGCUUACAUAAUUGACAACCAAACAUUUAAUAACUUUUUGUCAAAAGCUUUGCUGGUAUAAGCUCUAAUCAUAUAAGCUUUAUUUAAUAAGCUGUACCAAAUAGAGCCUUAGUUGAGUGCAGAGCACUUAAAG